Canis lupus familiaris (dog) is the source of this 948-nucleotide long non-coding RNA. RefSeq lists it as uncharacterized. Lineage: Eukaryota; Metazoa; Chordata; Mammalia; Carnivora; Canidae. The transcript has 3 exons. The record is from RefSeq and is a predicted model, not a curated record.
AUACUUUAUUCUGUAAUCAACAGCACACAAACUGAAGACGUUUCAGGCAAACAACUGCUGACAUAAUUUGUAAUUCACAGAUCCCCACUCAAAAAGAUUCGAAGAGAUGUACUUCAAUGAGGAGGAAAGCUGAACCAAAGGAAGAAUACAAAUACAAGAGCCUUUUAGGUGAUUUCAGACCUCACUAGACGCUUCACCAAGAAGAGGAAAAGUCAGCCAUGUGGGAAAGCUGAAAGCAGCCAGCGUUGCAGCUUGUGUGCAGCUUUGGGGACAGGACGGUAGUGACCUUGUUCAUCCCUUCCAGGUCCCACACCAGGAUCCGGCCUCAUUCACAGCACCCAACACUGCAGGCAGCACCCCGCACAUUCGAUCCUACCUCGUGCCCCCCGCAGGGCACCAUAGAAUCUUUUCUUGUCUAGCUCACAGGCCUUAAAGAUCCCAGGACCCCAGAACCAUCCAGCUCCAAGGGAUGGAGCUCAAAUCUCACUUUCUCCUCUGAAGUGAGCUUUCCUCAUAAAACCAAAUGAAGCCUCAUAAAAUAAUUUCUUUCCAUGACUCAAAAGAAGCAUCGCCGUAACACACCCAUAAAUCUGGCAAGCUCCCCCUUUUAAUCACGUCCCAUGAUAUAAGAGGCAAUUAUUUCUUUAAACCACCUCGUGUCUCUCCAAUGUGUUUACAAUGUGAGUCACUUCAUCCACUGUUAUACGCAGUAAUAAAAUAUUUGAGCAGAAAGAAAAAAAAGGAGGUUCCUCCUAUCUCCUGGAUGUUUCCCUCUGAAAAACUUGUUUCCACGGAGGCACCUCCUCUGUAUCAUAACCAAGGGGUGGGGGGCAGUAACGUGCAUCCUAUUUAAGGGAGAAGAGCCAAUGAGAGAAGAGGAGGAGGGAAGAAGGUACGUCACUUGGAUUGCUUGUGAAAGGCUCCCAUCCUGUGUGUUAACUUCUAAGG